CGACUCGGUUCAUGUUUUGAUAUGGACGACAAAUCGAGAUAAUUACAUUGAUAGAAAAAAGGUAGUGCUAGUAUCAACCAACUGAUCUUGUGCAAUAGUGGCAUGCCUGAAAUGUCCGAUCCGUGGCUUGCAGUGUUGGGUGUGGUCCUUCGAGGCGCAAACAAUUGCCUUCAAAUUCGCAUGGUUAUUUAGUAAACAUCAGAACGAGGACUGAAAAGCAAGGAAUUUACGACCAAAAGGGCUAAAUAGAAAUGCGCAGCAAAGCCAAAAAACAAACCAAUCGGGAAAACCAGGUACCAAAAUUUAAUAUUCAAGAACUGGCAGGGGCCGCGCGAACGCGUACCCCCUCUAACACAAAUUACGACGUUCACUCUCCCACUUGGGGAGAUGAUAGGCCAGCGCGCCCACCAAGUGCAAUGUGGGCCACUAACCUAGGCCACGGGCCUUCUUGAUCGCCCGUCGACCCCGUCCAGGUAAGUAUGGAACACGGUCGCACCCGCCUCUCCUUUUAUAGCGAGAUCUCCCGCUCCACGCCCCUCGGCCGGGCAAGGUGGGACUAAAAACCGGAGCCGCGUCCGCGCGCGCUGCGGGACGGGAGCACGCAACUGGGCCCGUGUUUGUUCGAUUUCCAUCUGGGCGCAGCAACGUACGUGGGCCUUGAGAACCGUGGCACCUUCGCAGUCGCGGGCCUUGAUAUCGCAAAGACUUCGAGAUGUUUUUCAUCCAAGCAGGAAAAAAAAAAAAGGGGACAACGAGAGCUGGAGUGGGUACGAUACGAUGGAUCCACGGGCUCACCACAGAGGCGUUGACUUGAGGCAGCCGGCCCGGAAGCAACAGCGGCAUGCAGAUCACGGCAACGGAGACACCAACGGCGACGAUGCCGCCAGGCCGGUGGUAACGGCGACGCGCGUGCCGACGCACGGCCACACGAGUUUAACGACGGUAAAAGUACCAGGCGUUGACGCUUCACCAUCAAUCAACCAAUCGAUCUGUUAGAAAUUAAUUAUAGUAGAUUAAUUACCCAAGGGAUGUGUCCAACCCUCCGAACGGUUGUGUCUUCUCUCUCUAUAUUGCCAACAGACACCUGUUCUGGAGGGAUGCCUCCGAACAGGCACCUCUUCUUCGUACCUCUUCCAGAUGUAUAUAUACUUGAGAAUCAAUAGAAACAGGACGAAUUGUCCAUUCAUUUUCAUUCAAUCUCGUUUCAUUCUAACACGUUAUCAGCACUUGCUGCUCUCCAAUCGAGCAAUCGAUACGCGACGUCUGAAGGAGACAACCGAGGACCUCGCCCCCAUGCGUGCUACUUCAUGAGCGGAAUCAGAUGGCAGCGGUUAAUGGCAGACAAGCGAUCGCCCCUACCGAUGCGGCAACGAUGUGGCCUUGUUGUUUGACCGGAUCGUGAAUCGGCAGCGCCCGCGGCUCCAGUCCUCUGGCUCGAGCGAGACCGAUUUAAUCACCAGGUAAAAGGAAACCGAAAUAAAAGAAACAUCAGCCGCCAUGACGCUGUUCAUGGAAUUGGGAAUGCUCACAACCUUCCACCAGCGAGACAUGAAAAGACGAACAGAAAGAACAAGAAUGGGAAUUAGCAUCCACGAUAACUGAUUGAAAAUCCAAAUCAAGAACCGUAGGUACGCAUAUGGUAUUUCUUAAAUUCGUCAUACCUCUAAAUUACAUCGACGCGGAACUGCGCGCUCGACACGGACGCGCCUACACGCGCGAUGGAGACGGCUCCUUCGGCGCACAGCCUCGGUCCUCUACCUUCUCCUCUCGAUGCGGCUUCCCACGGAAUAUCCGCAACUGCAGCCACAAUACAAAGGCGCGGCCGUUGCAGCGCUCCUCCCUCCGGCGGAGCAUGACCCCGUCACCAUGGCACACAACCCCUCCGUGUCGGGCUCCACCCGUCGACAAUGGAGACGGCCAAUGAACAACACCCACCAGCCCAAGGCAACGCCCUCCGGCACGGUGGCUGUUGCUUGUGUGUAGAAACUAGAAAGUAGCAGAAGAGGAGCCGACGAACGAAUCAAUGGAUUCAUAUCCACAAACAGAAAAUGAUAGUGAGCCUUAUCCCUUUGUUAUUUGUCACUUUAACCCUUCCACUUCUUGUCAUCUAUAGAAAAGUCUCUAGAAUUUUGUAUUCAGCCCUCCUACUUUUUGUAUAUUAAUACCUAAAGUACAUGAGAACACAUAUGUUUGGUUGUACUUGAGAGCACCUCCAUGUUCCCAGUAAAGCGUACGUACAUAAUUAUUCUAGACAUUUUUUCUGACAUUUGUUACAUGUCUAAUCUGUUUGCUUUUCAAGCAAUCCAUAUAACAUGUUUAAUUUAGUGUAACAACCAUCGCUUUGCAAGUGCAAAUAAUUUUCUUGCGAAUCUCAACAUAAAUUGAAGUGUCGUAUUUAUUGCGACUACCUCAAAUAUUUGUGAAUCACAAGGUAUUUGAUGGUACCUACUGCAUAUUUUGCAGAUUAUCCAUCAGCACUGUAAGAUCUACAUUUUGUCAUUUUGACAAGAUGAUUAUCUUCAAUGUUCUCUUCCAAAUAUUAAUGCGUAUAUAGCCUAAUUUUUUUUAUUUAUGAAUCACAAGGUAUUGAUGACAUCUACUGCAUAAUUCACAAAUUAUUCAUCACUACCAUGAGGCCUACAUCAUGUCAUCCUGACAUAUGACUACCUUCAAAGUGAUUUUUUUUAAAUAUAGCAUAACACAAGGUAAUAUAAUUGUGAACAUCUACUGACAAAAGUUAGAUUAUGUUUACUAUUACCGUGAGAUCUACACCAUAUUGGUGAUUAUCUUCAAAAUGUUAUCCUAUAUAAAUUGAGGUCUUCUGAAGCAAUUGUUAUAUGGCAUCAGCCGUACUAAAAUUUGCUCCUCUGAAGCAAUUGUUGUUGUUCACUAAAAUGAUUUACUAUCAUAGUAAAUUCAUGCAUGAUUAUUGCAUGUUGAAUGGUAUUAUCUACCAAUACCAAUUAUUCAAGCCUCUUUUUGCUUGAAUAUGUCAUAGGGAACUACAUAAAUAUUUGCAUUUACUUGUGAUUACCUUCUAUUACAUUGGUAAAAUACAUGGCAAUGAAGCCUACGACAAUAUUUCUAAUUAUAGUGUCGUCCAUCCAUCAUGAUGGACCACAUAAUUUAUGACAAUGAUUAAGUGUGUCAACACUUUCGCAAGGUCCACAUGACAUCGUGGUUAUAAUUUCAUAGUGACUAACCAAUGUUAAGCAUGCAAGUCUAUACGUUUUGGCAAUGACUCUAAAGUCACACACUUCCUCAAGAAUGAAGUCCAAAACAUUAGCAAUAAUUUAAUCACAUGUGUUAUAUUGAAGGAUACACCCAAGUUCACCAAGGAUCACCUUGACCAUGAUUGUUCUCAAACAAAUCAUUUAUUUAUAGAUGCCACUUACUCCUAGAAGUAAAUUAAAUAAAUGCAUUAGCAUUUUCAAGUAACGCAUGGCUCACAUUUCCAAAUACAGUAAGUACAUGUUAGGUGAGAUUAUUUAUUGUAAGAUGAUUUACGACAUCAGUCAUUGUAUCCACCCGAGGUAUUAUUGCUACUAUAACCUCACCUUCGGAAUAUGUGUCAUGGCUAUUCUCUUAAUAGCUAAGUAUGAUCAUAUGUAUUUCAUCUCUCACCAACUUCACUUAGUUCUCAAACUAAGUACAUAAUGGAUGAAUAUUUAUUCACCUUGAAUAUUUUCCUUAUGAGAAACAUGCUGCCCCGAGCACAUUUUGGAAUGAUCACCCAAUAAUUUUUCAAGACCUCAAGUCUAUCGCAACUUACAAUUUUGGUAAUUAUAAAAUAAACUUGAAGUUGAGAUCUCAUGAUCUGACAUUUUCAUAUGCAGAUCAGGUUGAAAAGCCCUUGAUACACUUUACAUCUCCUUAUGAUAGUAUUACCAUUUUCAUGGUAAAGAAACAUGUUAUUUCUUAAACUCAUCAUAUUCACCCAACGGGUGCUAUACCAUUAUUUCAAAUAUUUGCAAGUAUUGAUUAGCAAGUCACAUUUCACAAAAGAGAACCAUGAGGAAUUUAAAGUAAAGUGAAGGCUAAAGACAAUCGAUGUCAGAAUUACCUUUUAAUUGAGAAUUGAUCAUUUUCAAAUGAUCACAAAGACAACUCUCAAGUUUGUCAAAUGUGUGGUUACAUAAAUAUCGUACAUAUGAUUACCAAACCCUCAAACAUAUGGUCAAACCACACCAUGAAUUUAUUAAAAGGCAAAUAAGUUUAUGGGGAUAUUUGAAAAUUUGCAAACAUACGACCAAAAUCUAUUCUGGUAAAUGAUGUUCUCGAAUCUUCAUGAGAAGGAGAACCAAAAAUAUAGUGCAAUAAAAGAAUGAUCAAUUCGUUUGCACCUAUGAUAUGUUUGCAUAAUUCAAUUUUUUUUCCAGUAAUAUGGGAGAUCUCAUGUAAUAUCCCGAUUAUUCCCAAAAUAUUGUUUGCCUAUAGUCGUACUACUACAUGUAGUAUAAAUGUCCAAUAUCCUAUUUCUUGGACAUUAUAUUUGAUAAUUUUUGCAUGUAUGAAUCAAUUCAUACUCAGUUUUGUUGCGUACACAAUAAUUUUCUAAAUCUUACAAAAUAUUUGGUUUUAAGCCUUACAAUCCAGGUUUGGGGUUGUUUAGAAAAUUAUUGACAAUUCUAUUGGUCACAACUUAACAAGUUGCAAAAUUUCCCAAAUCAUCAGAUUUUAUGUGCACCACAUGUGCCAUAAGGGAAAUUAAUUUAAGGAACUCUCACCUUAUAAUUCUAAAUGAGCCAACUCUUUCUUCCUUGAACACAUUCAAAAGAUAUGUGCAUUCUCAAUCAUUGUGUGGUAUUUUGUAGAUACUUUAUGGUACUCAUGGAAACAUUUAUAAAAUGAUUUCUAGUGUGUCUCUUGUCACACAAACCAUGAAUGAUAUAACUAAAUCAAUUGCUCAAAUUCUCAAAGUAAGAGCAAGUUAUCCUAAACAAGGGAUAAAUCCAUUCGAAUGGACAACUUUGUUGAACUCAUUUCACAAGAAAUAUAUGAUUAUAUAUAAUACUUUAUGUACAUACCCAAAAUGGUUUAGUUCAAUAUCUUAUCAAAGAUAGUGAAAUUAAUAAUAUGACCAAACUUAUAGAAUCAUGAUUUACUAGCCUCAUGCUAGAUAAAUACGUCAUUACACACCGUAAGUAUGAUAUAAAUCAUACUAACUGCAUAACAUACUACUUUCCCCUUUUAGUAAUUACGUGGAAAUCAACAAAGUAUUUCCUAUCUGCGAUAAUUCGGUUACAUACCGAUAUCACCACUCCAGCAUACAUCAAUGGGCUCUCACAAAAAAAGGGAUCUAUGUGAGGAAUAAAAAAUUUAUCCGUUAAUCAAAAUUAUUCAUAGCCCGUAUGCUGAUUGCAUCAGCAAUAAGGACAUUUCUGGCAUUAGGGGGAGAUAAGUACCACAAAUAAUGCCAAGAAAUAAAUUAGAAAUGUUAUUCACAUUCAGUCCUUAUAUCCACGUACUCAAAGAAUCUGAACAAGAAGUUUAGAAUCACAUAUUUGCAAUACAUUGCAAAUCUACCACAUACAUUUACUGAUGACAAAGGUGUUACUCAAUUAUAUUCCUGCAGUAAAGUGUCAAAAAGAGUGGAGGUACCUGAUAAACCACUCUUCUCCCGAAAUGAGAGCAAGAGGGGGAGAAAUCUGACCACACGAGAUAUAAUCUCGCAUAUGCUUCCGCGGAAAUAGAGGAAAUCAAAUCCUCAACCAGUAAAUGUAAUUCAACAUCAAGUUGAAAGACACCUCACUGGAUGCUCAUCAUCCAAAGCCCGACAUAAAUGUGCACAAAUGUUUUCGUGUCGGGACAUCGAAACACCUUGACUCCAUUGUUGUAGGAAAUCACAAGGAGUUAAAAGGAAUAAAUACAUUUCCACAAAUUUCAUUGAUUCCUCCAGAAUCAUAUAACAUAAGUCUACAUUUGUCGACAUAUAUUUCUUCCGAAAAUUGCUAAAACCUUUUGGGCCCUGAACCAAAAUCCAUGGUAGAGUGCCUCUUGUACUCAUAUUGGUUCACAUAAAAGGAAACAAGUAAUGAAGAAUAGCACUCGCUCUACAAACGAGUGGUAUUUACCACAGUAAUACCUACUCCUCAUAAGUAUCUUCCAUAUGAAAUACUAAAAACUUCUCAUUCAUAGACAAAGUCAAUGAGGUGGUGAGAAAGCGAGGCUUGUAGCAAAAGGGUUCACGCAGAGACCCGACAUCAAAUUAUGAUGUAACAUACCUUCUUGGUAUGAGUGGAACUAUGUUUCGAUAAUAAAUACCAUUGGCAGUACAAAUAAUAUUAUCCAUGCAGUUGAUGGAUGAAGUGGCUACAUACUCAUAUGAGUCACUCAUUUCGGAAAUAUAUAUUAAAGUCCCUGAAGGGCUUACAAUUCCGAAUCUAAAAUAAAUCGCAACAUAUUUGUGUAAAAUGUCAGAAGUCACUCUAUGGCUUGAAAUAGUCGGAAAUCAUAUGGUACUACCGACUAAAUGAGUUCCUUCUUCAAAGGAUUACUCAAAGGAUGAUAAAUUGUUUAUGUGUUAAUAAAGGUAUCCCAAAUUUGAAUUCCUUAUAUCACCUCAGUGUAUAUCGAUGAUUUCAUCAUCAAUGUCUCUACAAGACCUAAACAUACACAAAAUCAUCUCAAGACGGAAAAUUUGGAUUUAACCAAAUUUAGCUUAAGUUUACAACUUGAGCAUUCUCUCAAGAAUACAUAUCAGUCUACAUAUAUCCAAACAUAUACGAGAAGUUCAAUUUGGAUAUAUCAUAUCAACAAAGGACAUGUAUGGUCAGACUACCUUUGAUAAGGUACAAAUCCAUUCAUACCUAGGGGUGAUAAUGAAGUGAUACUAGGACCUGAAGUUCUGUAUAUCACUAAUGUCAAAGCACUCAUAUACUUGCAAACUACGUCAGGUCUGACACUAUAUUUGCUAUCUUUAUUCAGAGUGCAACCCCCAACAAAAGGUAUAUGGUUGAUAUAAGUAAUAUCAUCUUAUAUCUGAAGAUUACAGUAAAUCUUGGAUAUUUCCAUCAGAAAAUAGAAGAUAUGACCAUGAUAUGAUGUAAUGAUAUUGGCUCUUUAUUUGAUCCCAACGAUGCCAUAUCAAUGACUGAAUUUGCUGGAAUAGCCUUCACAUGGAAGUCAUAUAAAUGGAUUUUAGUGGUUAUUUCCAGUUAUCAUUCUAACAUAAUUGAUUUAUCUAAAGGCAUUGCAAAAUAUGCAUAACUUAGUAGAAUGGUUAAUCACACUCAAAAUCAUGUGGUUGAGAUUCAUCAGAAUCACAUAACUUGAUUUAUCAAGAUACUUCCACUUGCGUUACUCAAUACCUAUAGGUUAUAUGAAGAGCAAUAUCAUAAAUCACAUUGCUUGGAAAUUACUUAGCCUCACGGAUUAUAGAAAAGUGAGGAAAUAAUUUGCAAAUAAACUACUGUUAUAAUCCAGCAGAUUAUACACAAUCUCAUGUUCAUGUCAAUGGAAUUGGUAUGAGACAUCCUUCAUAUUUGCAAAGUUCAGGGGGAGUAAUCUCCCAAACUAUAACCUAUUAACAAUCAUCAGAUUGCAUAUAUUGUACUCUUUUUCCCUUGAUGAGUUUUCCCUAUUGGUUUCUCAUAAAAGGUUUUUAAUGAGACAAUAUAAACACAAGUGUCUUUAUAUGCCAUAUCAUUUUCUCCUUGUAUUUUUCCCAUUGGGUUUUAAAGGAGUUUUCAAUGGCAUGUACGAUUGCACUCUUUUCCCUUAUGAGUUUUCUCUCAAAGUUUCUCAUAAUGGUUUUUAGUGAGGCAAUAUCUUCUCAAAGAUCAUAUGUCAUACUUUCUAUUUUCCCUACCAGGGUUUUUAAAGGAAGUAUUCAAGACAUAUUAAUUGUUCUCUAAACUUAUCAGUGAGUUUUCUCCUUCUUCAAAGGUUUUCUCAUAUGAGUUAUCAAGAGACAAUGAUCAUCAUAUGUUGCAUCAUUUUCUCCUUAUUUUUCCCACUGGGUUUGAAGGAGUUUUAGCAACAUAUCUACUCUAUUCUCCUCAUAUUUUUCCCACAGGGUUUUUGGGGGAGACUCUCAAGAUUAUCUGGAAGAUUUCUCACAAUGGAAGAUCUAUAUGCAAGAAGCUUUCAACGAUGAAACAUUCAAGGAGCGGUGUUGUACAAGGGGGAGUGUUAGAAAUUAAUUAUAGUAGAUUAAUUACCCAAGGGAUGUGUCCAACCCCCCGAACGGUUGUGUCUCCUCUCUCUCUCUAUUGCCAACAGACACCUGUUCUGGAGGGAUGCCUCCGAACAGGCACCUCUUCUUCGCACCUCUUCCAGAUGUAUAUAUACUUGAGAAUCAAUAGAAACAGGACGAAUUGUCCAUUCAUUUUCAUUCAAUCUUGUUUCAUUCUAACACGAUCGACCUCUCCUACCAGCCGUCCAUUGAUUCAGCUUGACACAUCUGCUCGCUCGCUCGCUCGCCGCGUUCUCCAGGCACCGCGACGCGUCCCGGCAGACGUACAACCAUACGUGCGUGCUUGCUCUGGUCCAUCCAGCGCGGCGUUGCUUCGCGACGAGUCACGCGGUGGACGUGGCCACGUGUCCUCAAUCGACGACACGGGCCGGCCGAAACGCCUGACCUGGCCGCGAGUUAUUACUCUCUUUAUCCCGAAAUACUUGUCUUAAAAAUGAAUAAAAUAGAUGUAUCUAUAAUUAAAAUAAAUCUAAAUACAUACAUUUUAAGACAAGUAUUUUCGGACGAAGGAAGUAUUUUUUUUAAAACACUUCGGUUUGUCCCAUGCCCCCAUAGCCUGACCUGGUCACGAGCUACCGAGGAAGAGGACGUGGAGCAGUGGGGCGUGCCGAAACACUCGGGGGCUAUCCCGCCACUGGAUACCGACGGGAGUUUCGAAUCGGAGACGCCCCGCACGCGUGCCGUGCGCAACCGUCGCGGCCUGGGGACCGGGCGGACCACGCGGCAAGUUGAUCCAUGUAGCUUGAGGACCGGGCGGACCCCGCGGCAAGUCGAUCCAUGUAGCCUGAGGACCGGGCGGACCCCGCGGCAGGCCGGAGCAGUACGUAUUGUGCGUAUGCCCGGCUCUGAGACCUCACAUGUCGAUUGCCGCGUGUAAGGGUGUGUUUGGUAGCUUGUAUGAAGGGUGCACGAGGUUAAAAGUUUUCUAUCAAACCUAUUUUUCAUUGUUUGGUAGACUACAUGAGCUCAAAUGAAUUAUGGCUCAACUGAUGCAAAAACACCUCUCAGCUAUGCUCAACCGAGCUCCCCCAUCGGGUCGAGCUCGGGUCAGCUAAGCUGGCUUCGACCCACCUCUCCCUCGAACGACCACCCCUCUCGAACCCAUCUCUCCCUCGCGGCUCAUUUUUUCUCUCGAACCCAGCCGAUGCAGGAGCCGUCGCUGCCCCCGCCCCGGGUCUACCCCGCCGCCGUCGUCGAUCUACCCCGCCCUGGGUCCUCCCCUGUCCCCGCCCAGGGUCUACCCCCCCGGGGUCUAUCCCGCCGCCUCCACCGAUCUCCCCCGCCCCUGCCACGCCCCGAAUCUACCCCGUCACCACCGCUGAUCUACCCCGCCCCGGGUUUACUCCGUCGUCGCCGCCGCAUCGGUCUCUGCCCCAUCUCCCUUUCCCCUCAUCCAUUCUUUCACCCCCCUUCUCCCUUCCCCCUUCCAUACUUCCUGCCUAGAUCUCUGGAGUAUUCCUCCAUUUGGAAAACAAAUGUUGUUGUUUGCCUGUCACACUAGAGAAAAACGUAUGUGAUAACUUUUAUUUGUUUUUGUUUUUUGAUGGAUGAAUUGGCAAGUAAAGAGAGAAAAUUCAUUGUGAGAGGAGCUUGGUCUAGCUCAAAUAAUGGUUGAUGCAUCCAUCCUCAAAUACACACUACCAAACACAGUCCGAGCAUAGCAUGUCUCAACACAUACAUCACUACCAAACAACCACACAUGCAUGCAUUCAACAUGUCUUGACUUAGCAUGUCUCAAAAGGAAACAACUAUGCUAGAAUGGGAACAACUACCAAACACACUCUGAAUUGUCGAGCCUGCCCCUGCCUGCCUGCCGCGAGCUACCAAGGGCCGCAUCUUCUAAUUCUCAGAUUCUGGGCCUUCUAAAACCAGAAUCUCAAACAAAAACAUCAGAUUUCUAUCUAGCUUAAGAAAAAUUCACUGGAGCUCCUCAUACUUGUCUUUUUUUUGAAGGAAAACUGUAAGGGAACCCCCCCACAGCGAGUUUUUUUUUUGAAAUAAUAAGAACCCAAAUUCGCGCCCGUGGGGACUUGAACUUGGGUGGCUGGGUUGUACAUCCACUCCACUAGCCAAGUGAGCUAGGCUCACUUCCUUCCUCUUGGUGGUCACUUUACUCAUCGUAGUUGCAAUAUCCAAAAUACAGUCCCCAUAGUUGUUAAGGGGGUUUACAUACGGUCCAAUAUACGAUUUUGUGUACGUUUGCGCUUUGUUGGCGUUUGACUGGCCUCGCCACAUGUGCUUUAACCGCCAAAUUAGCUAAGUAUCUCGUGACCGUUACACGUUGAUAAGCCAGGGUUUUUUCCACAAAAGUACCUACGCGUCCGUCGGAUGAUUUUUAAAAAUCAUCCGUCCCCCUAGCUAGCCGUCGGAUGCCGAUCUAACGCCCCGCAUCCCCGCCGCAUGGUCAGUAUUUAUUUCCUGAAACGACGCUCGAGUUGCGGAAACUUUCGCUUUCUUGCAAGAAAUAAACUUUGGAUCCGUUAAUUCCUGAAACAACGACCGAGUUUCAGAAACAAUUUGCUUGUUGUAGAUUUUUUUUUCUUCGUCUUUCUGUAACAUAGGUAUUUUUACGGAAGAAUUUUUUGCAACAACGGUCGAGUUUCAGGAAUUUUUGCAACGAAAGUCACGUUGCAGAAGCACUACCUAGCCGGGAUCCAUGCUCAACGGAGAGUCGGCACGCGGGCUGGCCUCGGGAUGCUGCAGGAACGAGCAGGGAAGCUCCCCGACGACGGGAUCCGACCACGGGAGGCGGCGGGGCGGGCGACAAGCUCUUGGCUUGCUCCGGUGGAAGUCGUCGUCGCCACGCAAGCUGAAGGAACAACGUCCUGAAAUAAUGGAAUUGUUUCAAAAAAAGAAAAAACGAUCACGGCUCGUUUGCCCGGCCACGUAGCAAACAAAGAAGACGGUGGACGCGAGAGCAGGAUCAGUCGGCUGGAAGGUAACGUUUCCCUGAAAGAAAUAUACCAUGUUCGGACCGCACCACUCACUCCUCUCCUCCCCCGUUUCUCCUCGGUCGCUCCUCCGCUGUUCGUAGUCGCUGCCGAGGUGGUGCCCUCGAGCUCGCAGGCGUGCCAGUUGCGGCGAUGACGACAUGAGCUCAUCGUCGGAUGCCGAGCCGUCGUCGUCCGCCCCCUUUGGCAGAGGCCUGUGCGACGUCCCUCUUGCCCCGACGCGCCAUUCGCCCGAUGAUGGCCUCCCUCUUUACGAUACGUCGCCGCCUUCCUUCCCUUCUAGGGUAGCUGAUGGAACGACUCCGCGAUGUAGUUUACUCACCCGCCGCCGCCACCCCCGCUAUUCUCGUGUGUCGUCUACGUUCACGUACCUUAGUGUCGAGCGACAGACGGCUCCGCUGCGGCUUCGGCCACUCCUCGUACAUGUCAGCUCGGCUUUGCUGCAGGCGGCGGAAGCCAAGUUGGGCAUGGCACGGGCGGAGCAUGACUCACCGAGGAGAUCGGCCAUAUCGAGCAGCAGGAGAAGGCCGACACGCAGGUGCGGUAGCUGGAGGUUGCGCUGCCGAUGCAAGUGCUGAUCGUGUGGGGAUUGACCCUCUUUGAUGUCAAAGGCAUGGAUAGAUGGAUGUGUGUGAUGUGUUACUGCCGCAAUGAUUUUGGUGGUAGUUCUUGUCACUGUAAAUUCAAUUGUGUGAUGUAAGAAUCGUAAACUUUCACCAUGUAAUUAGUCAAGUUCAAUUUUUUCCCCAUUGUCAUGGACGAAGAUUUCUUGAAGUUCUAAGUUUCAACCGAAAAUUGAUCUGAUGAUCCCCUAAAAAAAUAAUCCCAUGAUCAAGUUGUAUCUCCUUGGUUCUCUUUAUUUUGUUGUAUAUUUCUCCACAACUUUCUACCGUCAUUGUAAGUAAUAUGAAGUUAUGAUGCAAAGAGCUUCAAGUACCAGGAGCAGGCAAGUGCAACAAUACACAUCGCGGUUUCUACAAGAGCUUCAAAAUGCUGAUGGUAUUUGUCAUGAUUUUGUCUAUCUCUUUAUUCAACAAGCAAGCACGCAACAAUACACAUUGAAGAUUAUAUUCUUGGGUGUACAUUAAAUUCAUUUAUACAAUAGAUUAGCUCCCCAAUCCACAUCAACUAUCCUAUAUUAAAUUGAUUAGGAAAUUCUAAAGAAAAAUGUACAAAUCGUCAACCAUCCUAAACUACAUGACAGAGGCAUGCACAACAACAGAUUAAGUUGGAGAACUGCUCAUCGUUUUGCUGGUUCUUCUAUCUUCCUCUGCCUUAUCAUGAUCAUCUUCAGUGUUGAUAGAACAACAUGCUCUGUAGAUCAUCAAUUUUUUUAAGAUUGCACAUGUAUCAGCAGAUUGGUCACUAGCAAUAGUGCUAUUGCACAUUCUCACAUUCCAAGAUGCAGCCAGUAGCUCCAGUUCAAUGUGCUAAGUGUUGGGGAACGUCGCAUGGGAAACAAAAAUUUUCCUACGCGCACGAAGACCUGUCAUGGUGAUGUCCAUCUAUGAGAGGGGAUUUGGAUGUACGUACCAUUGUAGAUCGCACACCAGGAAGCGUUAAGAAACGCGGUUGAUGUAGUGGAACGUCCUCACGUCCCUCGAUCCGCCCCGCAACCGUUCCGCGAUCCGUCCCACGACCCGCUCCGAUCUAGUGCCGAACGGGUGGCAGCUCCGCGUCCAGCACACGUACAGCUCGACAAUGAUCUCGGCCUUCUUGAUCCAGCAAGAGAGACGGAGAGGUAGAUGAGUUCUGCGGCAGCGUGACGACGCUCCGGAGGUUGAUGGUGAUCUAUCUCAGUAGGGCUCUGUGCUACUUCUCAAACAACAGCGCCAGAAAUUGACACGUUGACGGAGAUUGGGCUUGCGUUGGUUUUUCCCUUGAAGAGGAAAGGGUGAUGCAGCACAGGAGCAGUAAGUACUUCCCUCAGUUUAAGAACCAAGAUAUCGAUCCAGAAGGAGGGUCUCGUCAAGUCCAGAGUAGCUGCGCCAACACAAACAAGCUUGCACCCAACGCUUCAAAGGGGUUGUCAAUCCCUUCAAGAUUGUUUGCAAAGUGAGAUCUGAAGGCGCAAAGUGCAACGAAGUAAAAAAUGUAAGGCUGAAAAUAUGGUGUGGAGUAGACCCUGGGGGGCAUAGUGUUCACUAGAGGCUUCUCUCAAAAUAGCAAGUAUUACGAUGGGUGAACAAAUUACUGUCGAGCAAUUGAUAGAACCGCGCAAAGUCAUGACGAUAUCUAAGGCAAUGAUCUAGCAUAUAGGCAUCACGUCCGAGACAAGUAGACCGAUACUUUCUGCAUCUACUACUAUUACUCCACACAUCGACCGCUAUCCAGCAUGCAUCUAGUGUAUUGAGUUCAUGACGAACAGAGUAACGCUUUAAGCAAGAUGACAUGAUGUAGAGGGAUAGUCUCAAACCAAUGAUGAAAACCCCAUCUUUUUACCCUUGAUGGCAACAACACGAUACGUGCCCCGCUACCCCUUCUGUCACUGGGUGAGGUCACCGCAUGGUAUGAACCCAAAACCAAGCACUUCUCCCAUGGCAAGAAUCAUAGAUCUAGUUGGCCAAACAAAACCCACAACUCGAAGAGAAUUACAAGGAUAUGAAAUCAUGCAUAAGAGAGAUCAGAAGAAACUCAAAUAAGAUUCAUAGAUAAUCUGAUCAUAAAUCCACAAUUCAUCGGAUCUCGACAAACACAGUACAAAAGAAGAUUACAUCGGAUAGAUCUCCAUGAAGAUCAUGGAGAACUUUGUAUUGAAGAUCCAAGAGAGAGAAGAAGCCAUCUAGUUACUAGCUAUGGACCCGUAGGUCUAUGGUGAACUACUCACGCAUCAUCGGAGAGGUCAUGGUGUUGAUGGAGAAGCCUUCCGUGUCCGAAUCCCCUCUCCGGCAGGGCACCAGGACGUGCCCCAGAUGGGAUCUUGCAGAGACAGAAGCUUGCGGCGGCGGAAAAGUGAUUGUGAUCGUCCUCUGAUUUUUUUGGGAAUAUUUAGAAAUUCAUAGGCGCAAGAUCUAGGUCAGGAGACCUCCAGGGGGCCCACAAGCCUGCAUGGCGCGCCCCCCUGGCCGCGGGGUGGGGGCUUGUGGGUCCCCUGGGGCUCUUCUGGCUUGGCUCCCAAGUCCCCCGAUCUUCUUCCGUUCCAGAAAAAUAUUUUCGGCGAUUUUCUUUCGUUUGGACUCCGUUUCAAAUCUCCUCUGAAAGGGUUCAAAAACAUGGAAAAAACAGGAACUGGCACUUGGCAGUGAAUUAAUAAGUUAGUCCCAUAAAAUAAAUAAAAGGCAUGCAAAACAUCCAAAGUUUGACAUGAUAAUAGCAUGAAACCAUAAAAAAUUAUAGAUACGUUGGAGACGUAUCAAGCAUCCCCAAGCUUAACUCCUGCUUGUCCUCGAGUAGGGAAGUGAAAAAGAAUGAAUUUUUGAUGUGGAAUGCUACCUAGCAUAGUUGUCCUUUGCAACUUCUUUCACGUGGCAUGAAUGUUCAGAUCCGUACGAUUCAAAACAAUAGUUUGCUAUUGACAUGAAAACAAUAAUACUUCAAGCAAACUAGCAAAGUAACCAUGAACUUUCAAAAUAACAAGGCCAAAGAAAGUUAUCACUACAAAAUCAUAUAGUCUGGCUAUGCUCCAUCAUCCUCACACAACUAAUGUAAAUCAUGCAGAACCCCGGAAUUGGCCAAGUAAUUGUUUUCGCACUCUUACUUUCUCAAACUUUUUAUAACUAUCACGCAAUACAUGAGCGCGAGCCAUGGAUAUAGCACUAUAGGUGGAAUAGAGUGUGGUGGUGGUUGUGAGACAAAAAAAGAGGAGAUGGUCACACUGACUCGGCGUAUCAAUAGGCUAUGGAGAUGCCCAUUAAUAGAUAUCACUGUGAAUGAGUAGGGAUUGCCAUACAAGAGAUGCACUAGAGCUAUAAGUAUGUGAAAGCUCAAGAGGAAAACUAGUGGGUGUGCAUCCAACUUGCUUGCUCACGAAGACCUAGGGCAAUUUUGAGGAAGCCUAUCAUUGGAAUAUACAAGCCAAGUUAUAAAACGAAGAUUCCCACUAGCAUAUGGUAGUGACAAAGCGAGAAGCUCUCAAUCGUGAAGAACAUGGUGCUAACAUGAAGCACAAGUGUGGAAAAAGAUAGUAGCAUUGUCCCUUCUCUCUUUUCUCUCAUUUCUUUUUUUAAUUAUUAUUUGGGCUCUUAGGCCUCUUUUUUUUGGGCUCUUUGGCCUCUUUUUUUCCUCACAUGGGACAAUGCUCUAAUAAUGAUGAUCAUCACACUUUUUUGUUACUCAAAGCUCAAAGAUCACAAUGAUGAUGACUCCAUAGGAAAUGCCUCCGGCAGUGUACCAGGAUGUGCAACGAUCUAGUAUGAUCAUGUAAUGGCAAUAUGAGAGUGACGACACAAGUCAUGAGACGGAACGGUGGGAGUUGCAUGGCAAUAUAUCUCGGAAUGGCUAUGAAAAUGCCAUAGUAGGUAGGUAUGGUGGCUGUUUUGAGGAAGGAAUUUGGUGGGUUUGUGCACCGACGAGAUUUGCGCGGCGCUAGAGAGGCUAGCAAUGGUGGAAGGUGAAAGUGCAUCUAUACCGUGGACUCAACAUUAGUCAUAAAGAACUCGCAUACUUGUCGCAAAAGUUUUUAUUAGUAAUCGAAACAAAGUGCUAAACGCAUAUUCCGAGGGGAAGGGUUGGUAGGUGUAAACCAUCGCGCGAUCCCGACCUCAACACAAAGGAUGACAAUCAAUAAAUCAAUUAUGCCCCGACUUCCUAACAUAGCGGUUCACCAUACGUGCAUGCUACGGGAAUCACUAACUCCAACACAAGUAUCUCUAGAUUCACAACACCCUACUAACAUAACUUUUAAUAUUACCGAAUCCACGUCUCAAAACUAAUUGAGAGGAAUCAAAACUUCUCUUUCUACUCAAUGCACAUGAAGAUGGAGGUUUUUUUGCAUCCUCUUUGGAUACCUAGCACAUGGGACUACUUUCAUAGCAUAAGCCAACUACCAAAUCAUGCACCACCAUGCUCUAAAGAUAUAAGUGAAGCACAAGAGCAAAAGUAUAUAGCUCAAAAGAUAUAAGUGAAGCACAAGAGCAAAAGUAUCUAGCUCAAAAGAUAUAAGUGAAGCACAAUGAGCAUUCUAGCAAAAUCACGAUGAGUGCAUGUCUCUCUCUCUCAAAAAGGUGUGCAUCAAGGAUGAUUGUGACACAACAAAAAGAAAAGACUCCUAAGAUACAAGAGGCUCCAAGCAAAACACAUAUCAUGUGGUGAAUAAAAAUAUAGCUCCAAGUAAUAUUACCGAUGGAUUGAAGACGAAAGAGGGGAUGCCUUCCCGGGGCAUCCCCAAGCUUAGGCUUUUUGGUGUCCUUGAAUUUGGCUUGGGGGGACUUGGGCACCCCCAAGCUUGAGCUCUUUCCACUCCUUAUCUCUUUGUCCAUGAGAACGUCACCCAAAACUUGAAAACUUCAUAACACAAAACUUAAACAGAAACUUGUGAUAACAUUAGUACAAGAAAACAAACUACCACUUCUUUUGGUACUGUAGAAAACUUGAAUUCCAUCUAUAUUGGUGUUGGGAUACUGUAUUCUCACUUUUCCAUAUCUAGUACCCCCCGAUACUAACCAUAGUUUUAUCAAAACAAGCAACCAACUCAACAAAAACAGAAUCUGUCAAAAACAGACCAAUCUGUAGCAAUCUGUAUACUUAGUAUACUUAUUUUACCUCAAAACAUCUGAAAAAUUACGAAGGUCUGGGGAAAAAGCAUAUAAAUCAGCAGCAAAAAGAAUCAACUCAAAAGCUCUUUCUGAAAAAAAAAUGAAAAAUCAUCUCGUGAGCGAAAAGUUUCUGUCUUUUUUCAGCAGGAUCAAACAACCAUUACCAAGACUAGUCAUAAAGGUUUUGCUUGGCUCAAACACAAAAAGAAACACAAAAAACACAAUCACAACAUAAUUGUGAAAGUGUGGACGCAACAAAACAGAAAGAAAAGAUAAAUUCAUUGGGUUGCCUCCCAACAAGCGCUAUUGUUUAACGCCCUUAGCUAGGCAUAGUAGCGAUAGAAUCACGUAUCGUCGUCUUUGGUGCUCAAACCAUAAGUAGCCCUCAUCAUGGAUUCAUAAGCAAAUCUUAUUUUAUUUCUAGGAAAGUGUUCCAUGCCCUUCCUUAAAGGAAAUUGAAAUCUAAUAUUCCCUUCCUUCAUAUCGAUGAUAGCACCCAUGGUCCUUAGGAAAGGUCUACCAAGAAUAAUAGGGCAUGUAGGAUUGCAAUCAAUGUCAAGCACAAUGAAAUCCACGGGUACAUAGUUCCUAUUUGCAAUAAUAAGAACAUCAUUUAUCCUUCCCAUGGGUUUCUUGAUAGUAGAAUCAGCAAGAUGCAAAUUAAGAGAACACUCUUCAAUCUCAUUAAAACCCAGAAUAUCACAUAAAGACUUUGGAAUCGCAGAAACACUAGCACCCAAAUCACACAAAGCAUUGCACUCAUUAUUUUUUAUUUUGAUUUUGAUGGUAUGUUCCCGCUCAUCAUGAAGCUUUCUAGGGAUAGAGACUUCCAAUUCAAGUUUCUCUUCAAGAGCUUUCAUCAUAGCUUCGACGAUAUGAUCGGUAAAGGCUUUGUUUUGGCUAUAAGCGUGUGGAGAGUUCAACAUGGAUUGCACCAAAGAAAUGCAUUCAAUCAAGGAGCAACUAUCAUAAUUGAAUUCCUUGAAAUUCAUGGUAGUAAUUUCAUUACUACUCAAAGUUUUAACGUCUUCUACUGCACUUUUAAUGCUUUUAGCACCAAGGUAGGUGGACUCCGAAUCAUUGGGGCACUUUUCAACCAAAGUGGAUUCAUAUCCAGCCCCAUAAUCAUUAGGUUUGACACAAGAAAACAAAGAUUCAAUGGGAGUCACACCAAGCACUUUAAGAUCUUGGUGAUUCUCAUCACGGGAACAUGCCUUUUUAAGCCAUUCAUGUCUAGCACGAAUUUGAGCGGUUCUUUCUUGGCUUUCAAUCAUGGAAACACGCAUAGCUUUUAAAGUUUCAUCCAUGUUGAUUUUGGGAGGAGCACAUCUAACUUUCAAAGCAUCAACAUCACAAGAAAUCCUAUCAACGCUCUUAGCCAAAUCGUCAAUUUUGAGUAGUUUUUCCUCUAUGGACGCAUUGAAAAUCUUUUGAGAGUUGAUGAACUCUUUGAUAUUACUCUCUAGAUCAGAGGGUAAUGUAUUGUAAUUUCCAUGAGUAUUGUUGUAGGAGUUGCCAAAGUUAUUAGAGGAAUUACUAGGAAAAGGCCUAGCGUUUUUGUUAUAGGAACAUAGUUUCCUCUAAAAGCGUUGUUGUUGCCAAAGUUAUUCGUACCAACAAAAUUAACGUCCAAGCUAGCGUUGCUACUCUCAAUCAAAGAAGACAAAGGAAAAUCAUUAGGAUCCAAAGGAGCACUUCUACUAGCAACCAAAUUCAUUAACUCAUUCAUCUUAGCACUCAACGAGUUAAUUUCUUCUAUAGCGUGUACCUUCUUACUAGUAGGUGAUCUUUCAGUGUGCCACUGAGAGUAGUUCGUCAUGAUGUUGUCUAAGAGCUUUGUGGCUUCUCCUAAUGUGAUUUCCAUGAACGUUCCACCUGAGGCGGAGUCCAAGAUAUUUCUAGAAGCGAAAUUCAAGCCAGCGUAAAAGAUUUGAAUAAUCAUCCAAAUACUCAAGCCAGGAGCGGGACAAUUUCUAAUCAUUAUUUUCAUUCUCUCCCAAGCUUGUGCAACAUGCUCAUGAUCAAGUUGCUUGAAAUUCAUGAUAUCAUUACGGAGAGAGAUGAUCUUAGCCGGCGGAAAAUACUUGGAUAUAUAAGCAUCUUUGCACUUAUCCCAAGAAUCGAUACUAUUUUUGGGCAAAGAAGAAAACCAAGUUUUUGCGCGAUCUCGCAACGAGAAAGGAAAAAGCUUCAAUUUAAUCACGUCAUUAUCCACAUCCUUUUUCUUUUGCAUAUCGCAAAGCUCAAUGAAGGUAUUGAGAUGGGAUGCAGCAUCUUAACUAGGAAGGCCAGAGAAUUGCUCUUUCAUAACAAGAUUCAGCAAAGCGGCAUUGAUUUUGUAUGACUCUGCACUAGUGGCGGGAGCAUCGGAGUACUAAUAAAAUCAUUAUUAUUAGUAUUCGAGAAGUCACAAAGCUUGGUGUUUUCGUUCAUGGUGACUUUAGCAAGCAAGCAAGCACACGAGCAAACAAAAAAGUGAGCGAGAAAAAGGGCGAACGAAAAGGCAAAUUGGUGAAGUGGGGGAGAGGAAAACGAGAGGCAACUGGCAAACAAAGUAAAUGCAAGAGAUGAGUUUGCGACACUUACUUGGAUGAGUUCUUGACUUGAUCUUCCUCCCCGGCAACGGCGCCAGAAAUCCUUCUGCUACUUCUCAAACAACAGCGCCAGAAAUUGAAACGUUGACGGAGAUUGGGCUUGCAUUGGUUUUUCCCUUGAAGAGGAAAGGGUGAUGCAGCACAGGAGCAGUAAGUAUUUCCCUCAGUUUGAGAACCAAGGUAUCGAUCCAGAAGGAGGGUCUCGUCAAGUCCAGAGUACCUGCGCAAAUACAAACAAGCUUGCACCCAACGCUUCAAAGGGGUUGUCAAUCCCUUCAAGAUUGUUUGCAAAAUGAGAUCCGAAGGCGGAAAGUGCAACGAAGUAAAAAGUGUAAGGCUGAAAAUAUGGUGUGGAGUAGACCCUGGGGCCAUAGUGUUCACUAGAGGCUUCUCUCAAAAUAACAAGUAUUACGGUGGGUGAAAAAAUUACUGUCGAGCAAUUUAUAGAACCGCACAAAGUCAUGAUGAUAUCUAAGGCAAUGAUCUAGCAUAUAGGCAUCACGUCCGAGACAAGUAGACCGAUACUUUCUGCAUCUACUACUAUUACUCCACACAUCGACCCCUAUCCAGCAUGCAUCUAGUGUAUUGAGUUCAUGACGAACAGAGUAACGCUUUAAGCAAGAUGACAUGAUGUAGAGGGAUAAUAUCAAACCAAUGAUGAAUACCCAUCUUUUUACCCUUGAUGGCAACAAGACGAUACGUGCCUCGCUACCCCUUCUGUCACUGGGUGAGGUCACCGCACGGUAUGACCCCAAAACCAAGCACUUCUCCCAUGGCAAGAAUCAUAGAUCUAGUUGGCCAAACAAAACCCACAACUCAAAGAGAAUUACAAGGAUAUGAAAUCAUGCAUAAGAGAGAUCAGAAGAAACUCAAAUAAGGUUCAUAGAUAAUCCGAUCAUAAAUCCACAAUUCAUCGGAUCUCGACAAACACACCGCAAAAUAAGAUUACAUCGGAUAGAUCUCCAUGAAGAUCAUGGAGAACUUUGUAUUGAGGAUCCAAGAGAGAGAAGAAGCCAUCUAGUUACUAGCUAUGGACCCGUAGGUCUAUGGUGAACUACUCACGCAUCAUCGGAGAGGUCAUGGUGUUGAUGGAGAAGCCUUCCGUGUCCGAAUCCCCCCUCCGGCAGGGCACCAGGACGUGCCCCAGAUGGGAUCUUGCGGAGACAGAAGCUUGCGGCAGCGGAAAAGUAAUUGCGAUCGUCCUCUGAUUUUUUUUGGGAAUAUUCGGGAAUUUAUAGGCGCAAGAUCUANNNNNNNNNNNNNNNNNNNNNNNNNNNNNNNNNNNNNNNNNNNNNNNNNNNNNNNNNNNNNNNNNNNNNNNNNNNNNNNNNNNNNNNNNNNNNNNNNNNNCUGAGUGCGGAAGCUGGCGAGCGGAGGCGAGGCAAGCGCAGCCUGGGGCGGCGCGGUGAACGGCUCCCGAUCUGGAUCCUGAUCCAGAUCGCGGGGAGGAGGCAGCGGCUGAUCUGGGAAAGACCGCCGGGUCAACGCGGGGGAGGGAAAACCGAGCGCUGCGGGAGCCACGUGUAUUUGAGAUAUAAUGCUUGAUCUCUCUUAUGCAUGAUUUCAUAUCCUUGUAAUUCUCUUCGAGUUGUGGGUUUUGUCUGGCCAACUAGAUCUAUGAUUCUUGCAAUGGAAGAAGUGCUUGGUUUUGGGUUCAUACCAUGUGGUGACCUCACCCAGUGACAGAAGGGGUAGCAAGGCAUGUAUCGUGUUGUUGCCAUCAAGGGUAAAAAGAUGGGGUUUUCAUCAUGGUUUGAGAUUAUCCCUCUACAUCAUGUCAUCUUGCUUAAGGCGUUAGUCUGUUAGUCAUGAACUCAAUACACUAGAUGCAUGCUGGAUAGCGGUCGAUGUGUGGAGUAAUAGUAGUACAUGCAGAAAGUAUCGGUCUACUUGUGUCGGACGUGAUGCCUAUAUGUAUGAUCAUUGCCUUAGAUAUCGUCAUGACUUUGCGCGGUUCUAUCAAUUGCUCGACAGUAAUUUGUUCACCCACCGUAAUACUUGCUAUUUUGAGAGAAGCCUCUAGUGAACACUGUGGCCCCCAGGUCUACUCCACACCAUAUUUUCAGCCUUACUCUUUUUCUUCGUUGCACUUUCCACCUUCAGAUCUCACUUUGCAAUCAAUCUUGAAGGGAUUGACAACCCCUUUAAAGCGUUGGGUGCAAGCUCUUUUGUGUUUGCGUAGGUACUCUGGACUUGAUGAGAUUCUCCUACUGGAUUGCUACCUUGGUUCUCAAACUGAGGGAAAUACUUAUUGCUCCUGUGCUGCAUCACCAUUUCCUCUUCAAGGGAAAACCAACGCAAGCUCAAGAGACGAUAGAAGGAUCUCUGGCACCAUUGCCAGGGAAGGAUUUUUGUUGCCGUAGCAGAAGGAUUUCUGGCGCCGUUGCGGGGGAGGAUCAAGUCAAAAACUCAUCCAAGUAAGUGUCGCAAACUCAUCUCUUGCAUUUACUUUGUUUGCGAGUUGCCUCUCGUUUUCCUCUCCCCCACUUCACAAAUUUGCCUUUUUCGUUUGCCUUUUCCGUUCACCCUUUUCUCUCGCUUGCUCUUUGCCCGCUUGUCUGCCUGCUAAAACCCGCAUGGCCCAACCAAGGGUUUUGAUGCUCACUAUGCGAAGUUAGAAGAGAUUGAAACUAGUGUUAAAGGCUUCAUGUCUACAUAGUUUGAAUACAACAGUUACUUUCGUAGAGAACUAAAGGAGCAAAAUUCUUUUCUGGCUUUUAUGAGUAGAGAAGUUGAUGAUAUGGCCAAAGAAUUCCUUGCGCUAAAUUCUCAGUUUGCUCGUCUUGAAAAGUUGGUAGGCCAGAUUUCUGAUAAGCAGGCUACCUUAGUCAAUAAAAUGGUUGCUAAACUUGAAACUCGUGAUGAGAAUCACGAAGAUCUUAAAGUACUUGGUGUGACUCCCAUUGAAUCUUUGUUUUCUUGUGUCAAACCCAAUGAUGAUGGGCAUGUAUAUGAAUCCACUUUGUUUGAAAACGCCCCAAUGAUUCGGAGUCCAUCUAUCUUGAUGCUAAAAGCAUUGAAAGUGGAGUAGAAGAUAUUAAAGCUUUGAGUAGUAAUAAAAUUACUACCAUGGAUUUCAAGGAAUUCAAUUAUGAUAGUUGUUCCUUGAUUGAAUGCAUUUCCUUGAUGCAAUCCAUGUUAAACUCUCCACACGCUUAUAGCCAAAACAAGGCCUUUACCGAUCAUAUCGUGGAAGCCAUGCUAAAAUCUCUUAAAGAGAAACUUGAAUUGGAAGUCUCUAUCCCUAGAAAGCUUCAUGAUGAGUGGGAACCUACCAUCAGAAUCAAAAUCAAAAACUAUGAAUGCAAUGCUUUGUGUGAUUUGGGUGCUAGUGUUUCCGCGAUUCCAAACUCUUUAUGUGAUGUUCUGGGUUUUAAUGAGAUUGAAGAGUGUUCUCUUAAUUCGCAUCUUGCAGAUUCUACUGUCAAGAAACCCAUGGGAAGGAUCAAUGAUGUUCUUAUUAUUGCAAAUAGGAACUAUGUACCCGUGGAUUUCAUUGUGCUUGAUGUUGAUUGCAAUCCUACAUGCCCUAUUAUUCUUGGUAGACCUUUCCUAAGGACUAUUGAUGCUACCAUCGAUAUGAAGGAAGGGAAUAUUAGAUUUCAAUUUCCUUUAAAGAAGGGCAUGGAGCACUUUCCUAGAAAGAAAAUAAGAUUGCCUUAUGAAUCCAUGAUUAGGGCCACUUCUGGUUUGAGCACCAAAGACGACGAUACGUGAUUCUAUCGCUUUUAUGCCUAGCUAAGGGCGUUAAACAAUAGCGCUUGUUGGGAGGCAACCCAAUGAAUUUAUCUUUUUCUUUCUAUUUUGUUGCGUCCACACCAUCAUAAUUCUGUUGUGAUUGUGUUUUUUGUGUUUCUUUUUGUGUUUGAGCCAAGUAAAACCUUUAUGACUAGUCUUGGUAAUGGUUGUUUGAUCCUGCUGGAAGAAGAUAGGAACUUUUCGCUCACGAGAUGAUUUUUCAUUUUUAUUAAGAAAGAGAUUUUGAGUUGAUUCUUUUUUCUGCUUGUUGAUAUGACUUUUGCCCAGCCAGUCGUAAUUGUUCAGAAUUUGUGAGGUACCUGAAGUAUACGAAGUAUACAGAUUACUACAGGCUGGAAUGUUUUUGACAGAUUCUGUUUUUGUUGAGUUGGUUGCUUGUUUUGAUGAAACUAUGGAUAGUAUCGGGGGGUACUAGCCAUGGAAAAGUGAGAAUACAGUAUCCCAACACCAAUAGUAAUAGAAUUCAAGAUUGCUACAGUACCUAAAGAGGUGGUAGUUUGUUUUCUUGUGCUAAUGUUAUCACGAGUUUCUGUUUAAGUUUUGUGUUGUGAAGUUUUCAUGUUUUGGGUGAUGUUCUCAUGGACAAAGAGAUAAGGAGUGGAAAGAGCUCAAGAUUGGGGAUGCCCAAGGCAUACCAAGCCAAAUUCAAGGACACCAAAAAUCCUAAGCUUGGGGAUGCCCCGGGAAGGCAUCCCCUCUUUCGUCUUUAAUCCAUCGGUAACAUUACUUGGAGCUAUAUUUUUAUUCACCACAUGAUAUGUGUUUUGCUUGGAGCGUCUUGUAUUGUAGGAGUCUUUUCUUUUUGUUGUGUCACAAUCAUCCUUGCUGCAUAGAGAGAGACAUGAACUCAUCAUGAUUUUGCUAGAAUGCUCAUAGUGCUUCACUUAUAUCUUUUGAGCUAGAUAACUUUGCUCUAUGUGCUUCACUUAUAUGUUUUAGAGCACGGCGGUGCAUGACUUGGUAGUUGGCUUAUGCUAUGAAAGUAGUUCCAAAGGUGAUAGGUACCCAAAGAGGAUACAAAAACCUCCAUCUUCAUGUGCAUUAAGUAGAAAGAGAAGUCUUGAUUCCUCUCAAUUAGUUUUGAGACGUGGAUUUGGUAACAUUAAGAGCUAUGUUAGUAGGGUGUUGUGAAUCUAGAAAUACUUGUGUUGAAGUUAGUGAUUCCCGUAGCAUGCACAUAUGGUGAACCGCUAUGUUAGGAAGUCGGAGCAUACUUCAUCUAUUGAGUGUCAUCCUUUGUGUUGAGGUCAGGAUCGCGCGAUGGUUAACACCUACCAACCCUUCCCCUAGGAGUAUGCGUUUAGCACUUUGUUUCGAUUACUAAUAAUAACUUUCGCAACAAGUAUGUGAGUUCUUCAUGACUAGUGUGAGUCCAUGGUAUAGAUGCACUUUCACCUUCCACCUUUGCUAGCCUCUCUAGUGCCGCGCAACUUUCGCCGGUACACAAACCCACCAUAUGCCUUCCUCAAAACUGCCACCAUACCUACCUACUAUGGCAUUUUCAUAGCCAUUCCGAGAUAUAUUGCCAUGCAACUCCCACCGUUCCGUCUCAUGACUUGUGUCGUCACUCUCAUAUUCCCAUUGCAUGAUCAUAAGAUAUCUAGCGAGAUGUUUCAAUGUCAUACACCAAGCUAGAUCAUUGCACAUCCCGCUACACUUCCGGAGGCAUUUCCUAUAGAGUCAUUUCUAAGCUUUGAGCUGUGAGUAAAUAAAAGUGUGAUGAUCAUCAUUAUUAGAGCAUUGUCCCAUGUGAGGAAAUAAAAAAAAGAGGCCAGAGUGCCCAAAUAAAAAAAGAUAAAAGAGAAAAAAGAGGCCCAAGAGCCCAAAUAAUAAUAAAAAAGAGAGAAAAAGAGAGAAGGGACAAUGCUACUAUCUUUUUCCACACUUGUGCUUCAUAAUAGCACCAUGUUCUUCAUGAUUGAGAGCUUCUUGCUUUGUCACUACCAUAUGCUAGUGGGAAUCUUCAUUAUAUAACUUGGCUUGUAUAUUCCAAUGAUGGGCUUCCUCAAAAUUGCCCUAGGUCUUCGUAAGCAAGCAAGUUGGAUGCACACCCACUAGUUCUCCUUUGAGCUUUCACAUACUUUUAGCUCUAGUGCAUCCCUUGUAUGGCAAUCCCUACUCAUUCACAUUGAUAUCUAUUAAUGAGCAUCUCCGUAGCCCUUUGAUACGCCGAGUCAAUGUGACCAUCUCCUCAUUUUUGUCUCAGAACCACCACCACACUCUGUUCCACCUAUAGUGCUAUAUCCAUGGCUCACGCUCAUGUAUUGCGUGAUAGUUAUAAAAAGUUUGAGAAAGUAAGAAUGCGAAAACAAUUACUUGGCUAAUACCGGGGUUUUGCAUGAUUUACAUUAUUUGUGUGAGGAUGUGGAGCAUAGACAUACUAUAUCAUUUUGUAGGGAUAACUUUCUUUGGCCUUGUUAUUUCGAAAGUUCAUGAUUACCUUGCUAGUUUGCUUGACGUAUUAUUGUUUUCAUGUCAAUAGCAAACUAUUGUUUUGAAUCUUACGGAUCUGAACAUUCAUGUCACAUGAAAGAAGUUGCAAAGGACAACUAUGCUAGGUAGCAUUCCACAUCAAAAAUUUAGUCUUUAUCACUUCCCUACUCGAGGACGAGCAAGAGUUAAGCUUGGGGAUGCUUGAUACGUCUCCAACGUAUCUAUAAUUUUUGAUGGUUUCAUGCUAUUAUCUUGUCAAACUUUGGAUGUUUUGCAUGACUUUUAUAUAUUUUUUGGAACUAACUUAUUAAUUCAGUGCCAAGUGCCAGUUCCUGUUUUUCCAUGUUUUUGACCCCUUUCACAAGAGGAUUUUGAGCGGAGUCCAAACGGAAUGAAACUGUCAGAAAGAUUUUUUUCCGUAACAGAAAAAGAUCGGAAAGCCGGAGAAUCAGGGCAGGGGGCCUGCAGGGACCCCACAAGCCCCCUAGUCGCGGCCAGGGGGCCCGUGCCUCCCUGGCUUGUCGGCUCCCUGGGCCUCCUCUGCCCUAGGUCUUUCGCCUAUAAAUUCCCUAAAAUCCCAGAAAAAAUCAGGAGAUCAUCGAAAGUAGUUUUCCGCCGCUGCAAGCUUCUGUCUCCGCAUGAUCCCAUAUGGGGCACGUUCUGGUGCCCUGCCGGAGGGGGCAUUCGGAUACGGAGGGCUUCUUCAUCAACAUCAUGACCUCUCCGAUGAUGCGUGAGUAGUUCACCAUAGACCUACGGGUCCAUAGCUAGUAACUAGAUGGCUUCUACAAAGUUCUCCAUGAAGGGUUGGUGAAGAUGCUUGGUUUUUGGUUNNNNNNNNNNNNNNNNNNNNNNNNNNNNNNNNNNNNNNNNNNNNNNNNNNNNNNNNNNNNNNNNNNNNNNNNNNNNNNNNNNNNNNNNNNNNNNNNNNNNUGAACAGGUACAUCAGUCUAUCAUGAUUGGUCCGUUUCGACAAACGUUUGCCAUGGUUUUUCACAUGCUUGCCUUCCUGUAAUCAUCUCUAGAACUAGCUUCUCUGCCGUGGUGCAGCGGCCGGCCGGGGAUGGCAAAGUUCCCAGGGUCUGCAUGGAUUCGACAUCCACAGGAGAUAAACACGAGAAGGUCCUUUCGGUUAUACUCCCUCCGUUCUUAAAUAUAAGUCUUUUAAGCGAUUUCACUAGGUGUCUACAUACGGAGCAAAAUGAUUGAAUGUACAAUCUAAAGUAUGUCUAUAUACAUCCGUAUGUGGUCCACUAAUGAAAUCUCUACAAAGAAUUAUAUUUAGGAGGGGGUAGUAAUAUUUUCUUUUGACGGGUCAGCGAACGCAGCUUCGGUUUUUUAGUAUAGCCCGCGGCGGCAGGCAGGCAGGCAGGCAGGGGCAGGCUCGGCAAUUCGGGCGCGGCAGUCGACAGGCGAGGCCCCAAAGCCGGGCGUACGCACACGCACAGUACGUCCUGCUCCGGCCUCCACAUGGCUACAUCGAUCGACUUGAUGAGUGCGCCGCGGGGUCCGCCCGGUCCCCAGGCCGCGUCGCUUGCGCAUGGCGCGCGCGCGCGAUUCGAAACUCGGGAGAGCCCCGGGCGUUUCGGCACGCCCCGCUGCCCCUCGUCCUCUUCCUCGGUAGCUGGCGACCAGGUCAGGUCAGGCGAUGGGGCAAACCCAAGUGUUUUAAAAUAAUAAUUAUCCCCGUCCGCGUUCGCUGGCAGGCCGGCGCGUGUCGUCGAUUGAGCACACGUGGACCGUCCGCCGCGUGACUCGUCGCGAAGCAACGUCGCGCUGGAGCGACCAGAGCACGCACGCACGGACGUAUGGUUGCGGUUGGUACGUCUGCCCGGACGCGUCGCGGCGCCUGGAGAACGCGGUGAGCGAGCGAUCGAGCGAGCAGAUGUGUCAAGCUGUAUCAAUGGACGGACGGCUGGUAGGAGAUGUCGAUCGAUCGAUCGAUCGAUUGAUGGUGAAGCAUCAACGGCUCGAACUAUUACCGUCGUUAAACUCAUGUGGCCGUGCGUCGGCACGCGCGUCGCCGUUACUAGUACUACUUCACAAGAAUCACGACCCCGGAGGAUACGGCCGGUUGCAACCACCGGCCUGGCGGCAUCGUCGCCGUUGGUGUCUCCGUUGCCGUGAUCUGCAUGCCGCUGUUGCUUCCGGGCCGGCUGCCUCAAGUCAACGCCUCUGUGAUGAACCCGUGGAUCCAUCGUAUCGUACACACUCCAGCUCUCGUUGUCCCCUUUUUUUUUCCCUGCUUGAACUUGAAUGAAAAACAUCUCGAAGUCUUUGCGAUAUCAAGGCCCGCGACUGCGAAGGUGCCACGGUUCUCAAGGCCCACGUACGUUGCUGCGCCCAGAUGGAAAUCGAACAAACACGGGCCCAGUUGCGUGCUCCCGUCCCGCAGCGCACGCGCACGGGGCUUCGGUUUUUAGUCCCACCUCGCCCAGCCGAGGGCGUGGAGCGGGAGAGCUCGCUAUAAAAAGGAGAGGCGGGUGCGACCGUGUUCCAUACUUACCUGGACGGGGUCGACGGGCGAUCAAGAAGGCCCGUGGCCUAGGUUAGUGGCCCACAUUGCACUUGGUGGGCGCGCUGGC
This 28212-nucleotide long non-coding RNA is filed under the name Hordeum vulgare. RNAcentral describes it as "long non-coding RNA (HVUL_LNC006469)". The record is from RNAcentral. Lineage: Eukaryota; Viridiplantae; Streptophyta; Magnoliopsida; Poales; Poaceae.